RNAcentral lists this ribosomal RNA (385 nucleotides) under Brevibacillus laterosporus. Its description in RNAcentral is "bacterial SSU rRNA". It matches the Rfam family "Bacterial small subunit ribosomal RNA", at positions 1 to 388 of the family's 1533-position model. The record is from RNAcentral. Lineage: Bacteria; Bacillati; Bacillota; Bacilli; Caryophanales; Paenibacillaceae.
UUAAUGGAGAGUUUGAUCCUGGCUCAGGACGAACGCUGGCGGCGUGCCUAAUACAUGCAAGUCGAGCGAGGGUCUUCGGACCCUAGCGGCGGACGGGUGAGUAACACGUAGGCAACCUGCCUGUAAGACUGGGAUAACAUAGGGAAACUUAUGCUAAUACCGGAUAGAGUUUUGCUUCGCCUGAAGCGAAACGGAAAGAUGGCGCAAGCUAUCACUUACAGAUGGGCCUGCGGCGCAUUAGCUAGUUGGUGAGGUAACGGCUCACCAAGGCGACGAUGCGUAGCCGACCUGAGAGGGUGACCGGCCACACUGGGACUGAGACACGGCCCAGACUCCUACGGGAGGCAGCAGUAGGGAAUUUUCCACAAUGGACGAAAGUCUGAUG